UGGCGAGUGCACCUACCGUGUAUACACGUAUGUUGUUACAGGGUGGUUAACUUCGCCAACGGCCCCCUUUCCCGAGGCAGUCCCUGCUCUCCCCUGCUAGAGGGGCACCCUAAUCCGUAUGUAUGUAUGAAUAGGACCCCAUGCGUGGUCAACCCCGGAAGCACCUACUCCUCAAGCCCCGAUUUGCUGGAAAACUCCUGAACCCCUACGCCGCGUUACGUCGGUCUAUCUGUAUGUAUGCAUGUAUGAGCGCGCGGCUCAGGCUCCUCAUGAGCUCCUCGCGAAUAGGUCGCAUGUACCACUACAGUGGUAGGUCCACCGCCAGAAAGUCCGGCGGUACCCGGGGGCACUUCCAGGGACCCCGCCUUGCGAGUUCGCAAGGAAGCAAAGCAAAGCAAAGCGAAGGCUGAAGAAAUUAGAGGUGGAGCAGAUUAGAGAGGUCAGCCAUGGUGGCCGCAGUCGGCAGCUGAAGCCCGGUCAGUGAAACCCUUCGACCCGGGUACACAAUUACAAGGAUUCGUGUUCCUAAGCAAUUCCUAGUUCUAGUACCCCAUUGCUAAGUCCCGCUCCGCCUACCACAAAUCAAAGCGUGGGCACAAAAAGCACGGCAUUCUCGACAGAUGCCCAUUUACCAUCUGUACCUGAACAUGCGUGCAUGGUUCAGCAUGCAUGAGACAUGUGCAUACACGCAUAUGCACAACGGUGCAGCAUGCGGGGAACCCCGACCCCGAUCGGGCCCGAGUGCCCGAGAAGCACACCAUGUUGACACUACCCUAGCUACCGGCCUGUACGGAUGCCCCCGCGGGGCCCCCGCCCUAUUUCCAACUUCAAGGAAGCCAACACCCGACUUGUCUCUUCCGUGUAUAUUCUUGAGUACUAGAACGUUUCCAUUGUACUAUGUCCCUAACCUAACUUGUGGUUCUUAGGCUCUUGGACCUCUGGCUCGUACGGGCCUGUCACACCUCUCUGGGUAAUUUGCAAAGGCCGGCUGGAGACCAGCUUCCUCCAGAGAUGUGACUCAACAUUUCCUAGGUGCGUGGAGCACACAAACAAGUCGCCACAAUCAAUCGUCUGGUGCCGAUAGACGGGGGCAAAACUUGAUGAGGGGUGUGUUUGUGUGUGUGGUGGGGGAUCACAAUAACUUGGUUAGCAUGGUCCCGACUAUGCCAACCGUACAAAAAGCGGGAGGGUAUCCGGGGUUCUCCCGGGAUACUACCGAGCAUCCAUUCCACCGUUAGAUCACAACGUCGAUUGACUCACGUGCCGGUCGUGGUCCCAUCCAGGAACUUAUCCACGACGACAUGAUGUAUGACGUGUGAGCUCACGUCAACACCUUCCUCCCCCGGGCGAAUAUGUAGCGGUUGUAUUCGUCACACCCAUUUACUAUAAUGGUGGCAAAUGUCCGUACCCCUCAUCAGCUUGCCAGCGUUGGACGCGACGAUGCCUAGCGUGUAGACGGCUUCUGUGCCGGCGUCCCAUCCAGUGCAAGGUUCAGAUAGCACAGUCUCGGAACGCACCACGAAUCAGUCGAGCAAUUCGCACCAUCCAACAACUGAACGGGGGAUUUAAGCGAAGGAUGCCUCAUAUUAUUGUGCAUCUGUCCCUUACUCAUACAUUGAAUUUCAGCUCUAUCCAGAUAAAUCUUUGCAGUGAUCCGCUUGGGGUCUGGUGCUAUAUCUGAAAAUGGCUUUGAGGGUUGUGUUUGGCAUUCUAUUGCUGGUGUUGGUGGCGCAGCAGGCCGCAGCGGGGGGAAGCGGAGGCAAGGAGCGCCGCUGGCCCAAGGAGUUGAAGGAGGAUUUUCAGGUACAUAGGAUAAUCGGUAAAUCGGUAAAUAGAAAAUAGGUAAAUAGGUAAAUAGGUAGGUAGGGAGGUAGGGCUGAUGUACCCAACCUUUACCACUUGACCCGGUCGCCUCACUCCCUCAUUCGCCAUUCCAUGCACCCUUCCCCCCUAGGACACACACACCAUCACACUAAAACACACACGCACGACGCAACCAGGGCCCCACAUGUUCAUGCGUUGCAGUUUGAGCUCCGCAACAUCUACAGCAACCGGCAGAACGGCAGUCGCUACAACUUCCUCACCAAGUACCGCUAUCCCAGCAGCUCUGGUGGGUGCAGUACAUUCGUAGGGAACUGACAAAGCCGUACGGACCAGGCAGGGGGCCACAUUUCGCUCCAUUCGGAGGCAGUGGUGCUGCGCGCCGAAUGCUUUGCCUUCCUGUGUGCUGCAACGCGCUGUGCUGUGCUCGUCUACUGCAGAGGCAUUCGAUUUCCAUGAGGCGGAAGAGAUUAUCCUGAAGUUCGUGCCUGCCGGUGGCAUGGGCAUCAAAGGCGACGCAUUCACUGAAGUCCUUUCCCUCGCCAUCGCUAAGGCGCUCUGGGCGAAGUUUAACCUUGUCGGCUUGAGCUUCCGCAUUGAGGUGCAGGUGUGUGUGGGGCCCUGUGUGCGGGUGAUGGCGGCUAAUGUGAGGCCGCCUCAUCAGCCCCGAUGAUAAGGUUCAGCUAGGUUUACCUAGGGCGAACGAGACCUCGAGAUGCAGAUGCACAGGAUUACGUACGAUUACAAACCAGUCAGGAAGGAUUUAGGACAAUGUGGAUUGAACGGGCGUAGCUGGGACUCGCCAUGCCGCGUGCCGUACCGUGGUACGGCAGAUUGCGCGCAUCUAUGUCCUUCGAGGACUUGCGACGUUUAUUUAAUUUGUAGUACGAUACCGGAGUAAUAAUAUCAGGGGUCGCGACUGCGCCCACAAAUUUUAACGGUGGCAGCGCCCACGCUACACCCAAGCUGACCAUCCCUGUCAAUUCCAAUCAAUACGUAACCGGCGCAGGGUUCGACACUGACUUUCCUGAAACUUGCGGGAUCCCCCGUACCUCCCAAAUUUUCCCUACGGAGGGGCCCCCGUACCAGGCUCCUGUACUGGCCGAAAACCUUACGGGGGCCCCCGUAACCCCGCAAAACCUUUUCGGGGACACUGUCCUUGGCUAAAACGCUGUGGAAAGUGACACUUUGCAUUUUUUGCCCUGUAAAUCGUUAUUUAUGUUAUUUUCCCGUGAACCAUUACACACGGGGGCACGGCACACUCAGCGAAAGCCAAGCGCCUUGGCCGCCGCGGCCGCCCAUCCCUUCUGCUCCUCUUUCGCGUCCUCCUCCUCAUCAACAAAAUCCUCAUCCACGGACGACUCAUCGGUAUCUCGUUCUACGUCGGUCUCGUAGUCACUGUCACUAAAAGCCUCAUCGUCACUAGCGGGAUAUGUUGCUUGUACCAGUACUUCAAUCUCUGGGUCCGUCGCAACCUCCUCGUUAUCAUCCUCUCCGUAUGGAUUCAAAUUAAUUUUGCUAACGUCAGAAAACAACUUGUGAAUAAUGCCUGUAUAACCCUUACGCGAGUAGAUCCCAGUAGCCUGAUCAAUCAGUGGCUUCGCCCCGGUAUCAGCAGCAGGUCCCAACAUGCCCACAUCCAGCUUUAGCCGGUUCGUCAGGCGAUUCUUAAUAAUACGAUGCCGGCUAAAUCCGCGCUCAACACAUGCCGUCUGUGUUGGCAGGAUUGUAGCGACUUGAGCCAAACGCAUCAUACGCUGCCAUCGCUGGAUGUUAAAGACUGGAAGCUAUAAAAGUAUUAUGAAAAGUGAAGUUAAAUAUUGCAAUAUGAAUUAUGCCUACCAAGUGUGUGGCUUUAUCCUUUAUAUGGUCCGUCCUCUCCCCUACAGGGCCCCGUAAGGCCUCUUAUUGUCUGCCAUCGCUGGAUGUUACAGACCAGAAGCUAUAAAAAUAUUAUGAAAAGUGUAGUUACAUAUUGCAAUAUGAAUUAUGCCUGCCAAGUGUGGGGCCUUAUCCUUUAUAUGGUCCGUCCUCUCCCCUACAGGGCCCCGUAAGGCAUCUUAUAAAUCCUUAAAUUUCUUACGGGAGUCACCGUAACCGGCCUUCGCCCUGUUCGGGGUCGGCCCCGUACGGGGCGCUUCGCGCCCCAAAAUCUUUACGGGAGCCACCGCAAAGUCCUACGGACCCGUACGGGGAUACCGAAAAAAGGCCAAAAACUUACGGGCCCCGUACGGGGUGUCGAACACUGAACCGGCGCCAGCUGGUUCACCCACUCUUCGCUUGCAUACUUUUUGGGCCUUUCUGGCUCGGUGCGAGUUUUGUACUUGUACAUACAUGCAGGGUAUGUCGUCGGAUGUCCGGAGUCACUACGCCUCCACCGUCACCGUGGGAGAUAUCGAACCUUGGGUCUCCCUCGUCAACAACUUCCCCGGCUGUGACGGAAUGGAUACGGACGAGGGCAACAAGGCCUGCCGCAUCUAUCCCAUUUUGAACGGCAAGGACCGCGACCUGGCUGCCAUUGCUGCUAAGAAGGCUGGCAAGCACGACAAGCCCAAGUACUGCGACUUCUGCGGCUAAUCGCAUAUCAUGCGAUAAUGCGCAUGGUGGUGAUCCUUCGUUUCUACUAGCGGUACAUCAAGACGUGGAUGAACGUAGCUGCCAGGGUGUGAGGCUUAAUUGUAUGGUCAAGCCGCAUAUGUAUUCUCUUUUGAUGUGUGUGAUCAUAGGCAAGCAUGUGUACGGCGGUAGGGGUGUUACACAUGACGGAAGUCAGUAGAGCAUCAUAGACCAUCAUGCACAUGGGGGAAGAGGCUGGGGGACUCAGUGCAGGUUAGUAUCGGGUCAGUUGCUGUCGGGAGGCGGAUGGUACAGCGCCACCUGCAUGGGUAUAGCUGCACUGAGUGGAAUCAUCAUCUGAAGACAGUGAUGCGGUCAUCAGUUUCCAUUUCCUCUGGAACACAAGCAAACUCGUGGCUUAGUGGCUGUCCGUUGUAAUGAACACGCAAUUCUCUGUCUAGGUACCACAGCUGCCUGAUCUCCCACAAGCAUGCUCUCCGCUUGGCUGCCAAAGCAGGCAGGGAUUCUUUUCAGAACACUGAGUUAGUCCUGGUCGUAGUCGUAGCGGAGCUUGCUGCAUGCCGGACCACUUGUUCUUCCUUUCCAUGUCUGUGUCUAUUACAGCGACAGGCGAUGUGCCCUUUGCGGCAAUAACGGCGUCUAAUUUGAACCAGGGAAGAUUUGGGCAGCGUAAGCCGAAAUAUGAACUGCCAGCAAAAGGAAAGGUGCUGCGUUCUGGUCAGUUGGAUGGCAAGAUGUGAAAUCCGGCCGUCAUCGGCUGUCGUCAAGCCGGCUACAGCCAUGUGCAGCAGUAAUGUGCAGUUAGACAUGCGGCGUGCACGUAGGCUGAAGUGCACGUGUGUGAACGAUGCCACAAACUGGCAUGAAUAUCAGUAGGCCGAAAGGAAGGGGCCCAGGCAGUGCGCACGCGCAUGUGUGUAUGUACGUAUGUGCGUGCGUGUGUGUAUGGGUGUGACUGGGUGUGUGUGUGUGCGUGUGUAUGUGUGUUUUACAUCACCUAACCGGGUUCUGAUACCUGACCAAGGGGCAGCUACUGGACCUGACACUGACCAGGGAUGCAGGGUCCCUGCCCUGACGGAGGGCAGCAGUCGUCAGCAGUCUAGUCGCUCUCCGACACAGGAAGAGAGGGCCUUGAGGGGUGGGCUGCUGACCCCAUCGUGGCGAGUGCACCUACCGUGUAUACACGUAUGUUAUUACAGGGUGGUUAACUUCGCCAACGGCCCCCUUUCCCGAGGCAGUCCCUGCUCUCCCCUGCUAGAGGGGCACCCUAAUCCGUAUGUAUGUAUGAAUAGGACCCCAUGCGUGGUCAACCCCGGAAGCACCUACUCCUCAAGCCCCGAUUUGCUGGAAAACUCCUGAACCCCUACGCCGCGUUACGUCGGUCUAUCUGUAUGUAUGCAUGUAUGAGCGCGCGGCUCAGGCUCCUCAUGAGCUCCUCGCGAAUAGGUCGCAUGUACCACUACAGUGGUAGGUCCACCGCCAGAAAGUCCGGCGGUACCCGGGGGCACUUCCAGGGACCCCGCCUUGCGAGUUCGCAAGGAAGCAAAGCAAAGCAAAGCGAAGGCUGAGGA
Molecule: long non-coding RNA, 5969 nt
Filed under: Volvox carteri
Lineage: Eukaryota; Viridiplantae; Chlorophyta; Chlorophyceae; Chlamydomonadales; Volvocaceae
Description: long non-coding RNA (VCAR_LNC003052)
Source: RNAcentral